UGAGUCUGAACAGCACUUCCUCC
RNAcentral lists this non-coding RNA (23 nucleotides) under Rattus norvegicus (Norway rat). The record is from RNAcentral. Lineage: Eukaryota; Metazoa; Chordata; Mammalia; Rodentia; Muridae.